CACGUAGGGGCCAAGCGUUGUCCGGAUUUAUUGGGCGUAAAGAGCUCGUAGGCGGUUCGACAAGUCGGGUGUGAAAACUCCGGGCUCAACCCGGAGACGCCACCCGAUACUGUCGUGACUGGAGUCCGGUAGGGGAGUGGGGAAUUCCUGGUGUAGCGGUGAAAUGCGCAGAUAUCAGGAGGAACACCGGUGGCGAAGGCGACGUCCUGGACCGGCAUUGACGCUGAGGCGCGAAAGCCAGGGGAGCAAACGGG
This 254-nucleotide ribosomal RNA is filed under the name uncultured bacterium. RNAcentral's name for it is "partial 16S ribosomal RNA". It matches the Rfam family "Bacterial small subunit ribosomal RNA", at positions 524 to 776 of the family's 1533-position model. The record is from RNAcentral.